Molecule: ribosomal RNA, 385 nt
Filed under: Scincopus fasciatus
Lineage: Eukaryota; Metazoa; Chordata; Lepidosauria; Squamata; Scincidae
Description: partial 12S ribosomal RNA
Rfam family: Bacterial small subunit ribosomal RNA
Source: RNAcentral
GCUUGGCUAUAAACAUAGGUAGAACCAACACAAAUCUACCCGCCAGAGAACUACAAGCGAAAAGCUGCAAACUCCAAGGACUUGGCGGUGCUCCACACCAACCUAGAGGAGCCUGUCCUGUAAUCGAUAUUCCACGCUAAACCUUACCACUUCUAGCCAAUCAGCCUAUAUACCGCCGUCGCCAGCCUACCCUAUGAAGGCAGAACAGUAAGCAAAAUAGUUAACAACUAAUACGUCAGGUCAAGGUGUAGCACAUGAUAUGGUAGAGAUGGGCUACAUUUUCUGACACAGAAAACACGGAAGCCAUAGUGAAACCUAUGCCCAAAGGCGGAUUUAGCAGUAAGGCGUGCAAGAAAGAACACCUUAAACCUGCUCUGGAGCGCGC